AGGGUUGAAGUGUCUUCCUGGUAAGUAUUUAGCUUCUGUUUUUCAAAAUACCUUGUGAAAACUUAAAUUUCUCCUUUGACGUAACAUUUCUCAUUGACCUGAUAUAAGAAAUACCAAGCAAUUGCAUUGAUCGAUAACGUUUUCAAGCUUUUUUCUUCCCUUUUGGUUUGCUACUUUAACUUUAGUUGUAAUAGUUGUGAUAAUUUUGUGGAGUAUUUUUGUCAAAGUCAUACAACACUCAUGUAUUUGCUUUGGUGCUUAUGAGUUGAGGCAUAAUUAAUUGAAAGUCAUUUACUGGUCUUUAAAAAUACAUAUAUUGAUAAUAUUUAUUAGGAACCAUAACCCAGUGAUUUAUGGAUUUUUUUUUUUUUUUUUAGUUUUUGUUAAAUUGUUCAGCAUUUCCCACACUGGGAAGCUGUCUUUUUUUCCAGCUUUAUUGAGAUAUAAUUGACAUAUAAGAUUUUAUAAAUUUAAGGUGUAAAAUGUGAUUAUUUGACAUACAUGCAUAUUAUGAAAUGAUUACCAUGAUAAGAUUAGUUAACAUUUCCAUCACAUCAUAUAAUUACCUUUUUUAUCACUUUUCCUCUCAUGUUUUCUUUUAACUGACAUGAUAUAGUGAUUUCAAAGAGCUGAAUAGAAUUCCAAUGUUUGACAUAUUGAUGUAAUUAUUGAUACAUGUAUAUAAUAAUAGUGUUAGAUUAUAUUAUCUCUGUAUUCUUCAGUGUUAAUGAGUAAAUUCACUAUGUUUGCAGGGUAAAUAUUAACAACUUGUAUAAACAGUUGCUUGUGCUAAAUGAAAUGAUAAGCAAUGUUGGACCCACCACAUACUCUUUCUUGUUAUGUAGAUUUGUUUGUGUUUAGUUCUAUAGAAUUUAAACUUAAAAAGAACAUUUAAUGUGGGUCUGUGUGAUCAUUGUUUAUUUAAAACAAAAUCUAACUUACAGGGAUAAGAAAGUAGGCCAUGCACGGUUCCUAUUCUACCAUUUUAGAAAGUCGUUGGAUGGGUUUCAUAGGGUAAAUUUUAUUUGCUUUCUUCCAUUUUUUAACGUUUAUUUAUUUUUGAGAGAGACACACACAGAGCAUAAGUGGGGGAGGGGCAGAGAGAGAAGAGACACAACCUCAAGCAGGCCGGAACUCACAGACUCUGAGAUCAGGAUCUGAGCCAUGAUCUUGAUCUGAGUCAGACACUUAACCAACUGGGCCACCCAGGCACCCCAGGGUAAAUUUUAUUUGUAAUGUAGGUCCUCAGUUUGUGAGCUAAAAAGCCUAUCAUUCACCAGAUUCUCAUUAGGCUGACACCAGAAAGAUCUAAAAACAACAACACUGUUAUAAAUGGACACCUAUGCUAAGAUGAUUACAUACUUUAACUCUUAAAAGAAUUUUGAAAUAUUGAAAUAGUUAAAUAUUGAGUUUUUUCCUAUUGUCUUGUAAGUUAAGCAAUUUAGGUAAUUAACUCUAUUUAGCUAUUUUCACAUUUAAAACGUUUUGUAAUGAUAGAAGAGCAAAAAAAAGUUUGUAGGAAAUUUUGUUCAGAAUUAAAUUAAAAAGAAUUUAGAUGGUACUUUUGGUUUACAUUAGGUAUUUUUAGGAAAUAUUUUGAGUAAGAUCCUUUAAUUCAGAGGCAAGUGAAAUAGAGACACUAUUAAUUUUGCUUUUUACUUAUUAAUCUUUUUCAGAAUCGUAAACUCAUUAAUGAAGCAUGGUAAGUUGGCAUUUUAAAAUCUUUGGGUGAUUUGGAGGAUGAACAUCCUCCAUUUGGAAAAUAAAAUAUAUGGUUCAGAUUAUAAGGGCGUGAAAUGGUUUGCAAGACAGUUUAAUUUUAGGUCUUAGAGACAUGUUUUUGAAAUUAAGAGCAUUCCAUUUUUUUAUUAGUAUUUAUAAUGUUCAUUUUUUUGAGAGAGAGAGAGAGAGCGCGAGCAGGGGAGGGAUAGAGAGAGGGAGACACAGAAUCUGAAGCAGGCUCCUGUCAACACAGAGCCCUAUGCGGGGCUCAAACCCACGAACCAUGAGAUCAUGACCUGAGCCGAAGUCUGACGAAGAACAUUCCAUUUUUAAGCAGCAAUUCAGAUUUUUUCAUUAAAGAUAUAUGCCUGAUCCCUUUUUCCAAAUCAGUCUUCUGCUAUACGACUCCUUACUAAAAUUUUACAAGAAUGUUAAAUACUAUACUAUAGAAUGAGUACUGUUCUCUAAAUACUAUAUGUUAUAGAGCAGUGGAUCUCAACCAGGGUUGAUUUUGUCUCCCAGGGUAUAUUUGGUGAUUUCUGAGACAUUUUCGAUUGUCACAACUGUGAGGAUGUUAACUGGCAUCUAGUGGGUAGAAGCCAGGGAUGUUGCUCAAUAUCUUACAAUACAUAGCACAGCCCCCCCACAGCAAAGUCUUAGCCAACCUAACAUGUCAAUAGUGCUGUGAGUGAGAAACUCUACUUUAUAACAGAAAAAUUAAGUUCAAUUGAUAAUUUCAAAACUCGAGAGUUCUGCCAUUUUUCUAGCAGGCCUGUGUUGAACAAGACAAGCUGGGUCAAGCCUUUGAAGAUGCUUUUGAGGUCCUGAGGCAACAUUCAACCGGAGAUCUUCCGUACUCCCCAGGUAAAGAUGUCAGUCCCCUUCUUUCACUGGGAUAUCAAAUGGCUUGUUAGUCAGACACAAAUAAUAAUUACCAGAACAGAGAAGACCAUUUUUACCUAGUGCAUCUAGGAUUAAUUCUAAGGCAGAAAGCUUCCAGGGUUACCUAGCCUAAGUAAAUUUAAAGUGUCAUAUAUAAAAAUGUAAAGAAUGACAUUGCACAUAGAAAUACUAGCACAUAUAAUUAUUUGCUAUUAAAAAUAUCUAGUUGAUAUUUAUCUAAUUGAUAAUUUUAACUGUUCAGAGUGGGCUUUUCAGUUAUUCUAAUUUAUCUUAUAGACUUUCCAUGCAAGAGAUAUUAUAAUCAGAAGAAUAAAUAUUCUUUUAUUCUUCCUCACCCAUCGCCCUCUAGACUAUAGAAAGAUAGUGCAGGUGAGAUACAGGUAUUUUGCCUACCGAGUUUAUACAGGGUGUUGCGGGCAGUACCAAGGUAAGAGAUCAUGGAUCUCUACUUGCAAGGAACACAUACUCUACUAAGGGAAUAUGGGACAUGUAAAAAGAGAUCUCUGAUACCAGCACAAUGCAAUAAAUGUAAAGAAAUGCAAAGUGAGAUGAACAUAAGGGAAGGGAAGCAAAAAUAAUACAAAAACAGGGAGGGAGACAAAACAUAAGAGACUCUUAAACAUGGAGAACAAACAGAGGAUUACUGGAGGGGUUGUGGGAGAGGCAAUGGGCUAAAUGGUAAGGAGCAUUAAGGAAUCUACUCCUGAAAUCAUUGUUGCACUAUAUGCUAACUAACUUGGAUGUAAAUUAAAAAAAAUAAUAAAUUAAAUUUAAAAAAAGAAAUGCAAAGUGAUAGAAAACACAUGAUAGAGCAAUCACACAUAAGCAUAUAUGCAUACAUGCACAUGUGUGUAAUCAUAAACUUUGACUUUUUCAGUUUCUGUCUCUGUUUUUAAAUUAGAUUACAAAAAUUACCUGGCGUUCAUCAACCACUGCUCUCAUAUCAGAGGGAAUUCCAACUGCUAUGGUAUGCUGCCUGCAGAGGAACCUGUCUAUAAUUGGAGAACAGUAAUAGUGAGUACAUGUACCAGGAGACCACCCCCCAGUAACAGGCAAAUUCCCUAUUCAGUCCUGCCUUUCACUUGGUGUAUGCUAGCUGAAACCCAGCUUAGAGGCAGCAGAGACUGUGAGAACAUUCACAGCCAUCAGUGGUGUGACCCUGAGAGUCAACAUGGGGUGAGCCUCAGCAGUGCUGUCAAGAAGGAAACUGUCCUCCAUCAUUGCUCUUCACCCAGCAUCAGAGGGUGUGAAUGACUUCUAUAAAGAUGUAUUUUUAGGGUUCUCACAUUACUGCUACUCUUUAGUCCAUCUGGAAAAUUGCAAAAAGCUAUGGUUCCCCUAUAUGCCAUAGGGCAAAGCCCAAACUUACUCUACACUGGUUUUACCUACAGUCUUCUAUCGACCUCCACUAUUUUCUAAAGAAAUUUUCAUUUUUUAAAUUAUUUUUUUAAGUUUAUUUAUUUUGAGGGAGAGAAAGAGCACAAGCAGGGCAGGGGCAGAGAGAGAGGGAGAGAGAGAAUCCCAAGCAGGCUCCAUGCUGCCGGCAUGGAGCCCAAUGCAGGGCUCAAACCCAGGAACCAUGAGAUCAUGACCUGAGAGGAAACCAAGAGUCGGACUCUUAAUCAACUGAACCACCCAGGCACCCUGACACCUUCUCUAUUUUCCUUCCCAAGCUUAGAGCUAGUUACAUGUUUUGGAUCAACUCAUGGAUAUUGUAGUAGUGUGCCCUGCAAAUGAAGUGUCCCCAUCAUCUAUUUCUCCAUUCAUGUGUUCUUUUGUGUUGUUUUCUUAAUGCCAGCAGUCUUAAUGUGGUAGGGUGUAAAUACGACAUGGUUUUCUUUUUUUUUUUUUUCCCAGUCAUUCCCUUCAACCAUGCUGUAUAGCAGAUGUCCUUUUUCUUACCUUGUAAGUUCUGUCAGGGCCUCUCCAUAUGACAUUUCUUUGAAGAGGGAGUUUGAAUUAACCUGAGGAGAUCUAUAUAUCCUUGCCAUAUGUAAUGGUAACACCUUAGGCUGCUUCCACCUGUCCCCUCUCUUGGUUCUGCCCUCCCUUGGCUGACAUCUUUCUCUCUGUGUCUCUUGCCCAGCAUCCAACAGAGGAAUGGAAAGCCCAUCUUCCCUUUUUUGUGGGCACUUCAAUUUCUACUAAUAAUUCUUUUAAAUUUUUCUUUCUGGCUGGGCAUUUUUAAGGAGAAGGAAGGAAGGAACACCCUCUUUUUUCUCAUAAGGAGGGGAUGAUAUGAAAGUUCCCACAAAGCCAAAGAUUGCUUUGCAUCCCUUGGUCCUCUCUUUAUGUGGGUUUGAGGCUAGUUCUGCCCCGGGAGAUAACUGGCUGCAACUGAGAAUAGUGCUUGUUAGAAUUUGGGAGAUUCUUAGCAGUCUUUUUGUCCCCAGCUUUUAACUUUAGCCAUCAACUGGGGGCCACAUGGAAAGUCCCACUUAACAUCUGCUGCAUUAUUUAUAUAGAACAGUGCUGCGGACCUCUAUUUUGAAGGAAAUAUUCAUCAAUCUCUGCCCAACAUCGCUGAAAACCAGCUGGUACAACCUGCUGUUCUCCAUCAAAAGGGAGGAAAAGGUAUGUGGAUCCAUUACUCCUUUUAUAAGUAAAAGAACCAAAUCUUCAAAGCAGCUUUAAAGGGAUUUCAUAUCUGAGUUUAGAAUUGCAUUUGCAAAAUAUUCUCGUAUUGUGAUUAAGAAGAAUUCACAUCUGACGGACUGAACCACUCCAAGCCAUUCACCUUGGAUGAGGCUUCCUAUUGUUUCAUAGAAAUGUUAUGAAGCUGCAUUGUGUUGCUUCACUCAAAUAAAUCUGCAUUCGAGAAUAAUGUGUAUAUAUUUGGGGUAUAGAAGGAGGAACUUUUCCAUAAGUUGUUGUAGAAAUCUUAUUCUAAUUGUAAAGGCCUUGGUGUAAAAGUUGUCUUCUCUGUUAAGUUUUCUGCAAAUGAAGUUCCAUAAUAAUUCAAUAUUUCAUAAAUUUGAAAUCUUGAUUUCAUAAAUUUAAGACGAUGAUGAUCUCACCUAACAGAUGGGCAAAGUGUUAAAGCAGGAUAGUAGCCGCUGACAUGUGCACAUGUGCUUUUGGAGGCAGUGUAGAUUGACUGGUACAAAGUUUUGUAAGGUAAUUUGGCUCUAUGAAAAAUUUAAAUGUUCAUAUCUUUUGACUCUUAAGGACUAUGUAACUCAGUGAUUGAGUGUGAACUAUGGGUUAAUUGUAUGAGCCUGGGAAAAUCACUCAACCUUUUGUUCCACAGUUUCCUCAUUCAAAAGGCAAAUAAUGGUAAUUGUACAAAUAAAUCAUAAGAUUUCUGUAAAAAUCAAAUGAAAGCCUAUGUAAAGCAUUAUGCUCAUAGCCUGGCACUGGAUAAUUUUUCAAGAUACCAUAGGGGUGUGUGUGUGUGUGUGUGUUGUUGUAGUAAAAGAAUGGAACUUACCCACUGCAUUUGUCUGUGUAUAAGGAACAGAGAUGUGUAAGAUGCACUAUAAUUUUAUGAUGAAAUUUUAAAAAAAUGGUUUAUCAUAGUUACUAAAUUAUUUUAAAUGAGCUUUUUUUGGAAAAACUAGUUUUGUUUCUAUAUCUCCAUCCUAGAAUACUGUACACUGUAUCCUAGAAUAAAAUUCUAAAUAUUCAGUUAUAAUCUAAUCCAGCAAAGAAUAAUGCAUAAAAUCACACAGAGAAAAUAAAUCUGUAUCACUGAAUAUUGGUACUGGAUAUUGAACUAUGGUGGUAAUUUAAUAUAAGGAGAAUUACACUUCUACUUCUGUCCAGGUGUUUAGCUAGUCACUAUUAUUUUUUUAAACUAACUCAUUCCAGGGUGUAAAGCCUAUGUCUUUCCACUGAUGCUUUAUGUUGUGGAGCUUUGCCAUUAUGGGACAUAUUACUCACCAUCUUCUGUUUUUCAAGUUUCAUCUUCCACUUGAAAUAGGGAUACAUUUGAAACAGAAUGAAAUUUCAAAAUAAUCUGGGCAUUUAUUAUCCAGAGAAAAAUAGUACAUGCAUAAAACAGAACACAUAGCUUUUAAAAGGCAUGCCGGCAUAUCAUACGUGUUGAUAAAGAACUUUAGAGUACAUUCUUUUGUCUUAAUCCCAUUUAAUUCCAUAAUUUAAAAGUAACAAUGCACAUGAUUAAAAGUAGAAAGGAUUCAGAAAUACGUAAAGAAUAAGUAGAAGUGUUCCUUCUUUCCUCCCAUGCUAUAUCCUGGGAAGUAGCCAUUUGUCAACAGUUGGGUAUUUUACCCAUCUGUAGCUAAUUUCUAUAUUCUCUGAUAUAAUUUAAGGUAUAUAACAUUGGAAAAGGGCAUAUUACUUUGAUACCACUUGUAUUUUUAAAGGGUAUACAUAUGUUUAUAUGCAAAAAAUUUUAAAAACUGUAGGAUAGACUGGAAUUUUACUUUCACUUUGUGCUUUUUUUUUUUCACUUUGUGCUUCUGAUUGAAUCUUUUACUGUGAGCACAUAAUACUUAAAAAAAAAAAUUUUUUUAGUGUUUAUUUAUUUUCGAGAGAGACAGAGACAGAAUGUGAGUGGGUUAGGGGCAGGGAGAGAGGGAGACACAGAAUCUGAAGCAGGCUCCAGGCUCUGAGCUGUCAGCACAGAGCCGACGUGGGGCUCGAACUCACGAGCUGUGAUAUCAUGACCUGAGCUGAAGUCGGACGCUCAACCGACUGAGCCACCCAUGUGCCCCCACAAAGUAACUUUUUUAACAAAAAUUUAAACAUUUUUUUUUCAAAAUUGAAAACAAAUUUUAAAAGAUGAGCAUCCAUUAUCAUGGAUUUGACCAUCAGAUAAGGGACAGAGUUUGUUUAAGGCUGUGACUUUAAUUCAUGAUGUGUUUUUUGGUAAGUCCCUUUCAUUUCUCAAUUUGUAAAUUAGAGAUAAUAUAACUCAAAAAGAUAAUCUUAAAAACCUUUGAGGUUUGGGGAUGAAUGAUGACUGAUAUAAGAGUAUUACUCCCGAGAGACUGUUGAAAGCAGUUUGGGUAUCCACUAUUCAACUCUAUCUAGAGCAAAAGGAAAUUUGACCAUAGCUAUCUCAGCUACUGACAGAUCUGGUGAAGCAUGGUAUUUACAGGCCAACUCAGAAGCCACAACAUGGGCUGUCCCCUUGGUUCUCUCAUAGGUCAAAGAGAUACAAUCAACAGAACAAAAAUCACGACAAAUCUUCCUAAAGUUUCCUAUCUAGAAAUUCUAAAAUAUAAAGGGCUGUGUUCCUAAAGGGACAAAAACUCUCAUUGUACCAUGUUAUUUUAUUUUAUUUUAUUUUUUUUAAUUUUUUUUCAACGUUUUAUUUAUUUUUGGGACAGAGAGAGACAGAGCAUGAACGGGGGAGGGGCAGAGAGAGAGGGAGACACAGAAUCGGAAACAGGCUCCAGGCUCUGAGCCAUCAGCCCAGAGCCCGACGCGGGGCUCGAACUCACGGACCGCGAGAUCGUGACCUGGCUGAAGUCAGACGCUUAACCGACUGCGCCACCCAGGCGCCCCGAGUACCAUGUUAUUUUACAGCCAUGAAAAACAUCACGAUGCCCAUUGUCAUUGCUCAUAAAUGAUGUUCAAAUGUCAUAAAGAUAUUUUGGCAUUUUCUUUAUUUUUCAAGCAACUGUGCACACCCAGAGUUUUUUUUUUUUAACUAAGUCUUUGUUAUUAAUGUCACUAAUGUUACUUUAUAUUUGAAUAUUGUUUUGCAUUUUACAAAAUACAUUCACAUUCCUUACCUCAUUUGACUUACCUCAUUUGAAUAAAGCCCUUUCAAAUGAUUUGCUUUCUGAAAAGGGCUUCUGAGGCUUCUCUUUAAAACCACUAAAUUUUGCUCAGUUUUGUUGUUCUAUAGGAAGUUUAGCAUAUGACAUAAAACCAGUAGUCAAGAUUUAGCUGAAGAAAGACCACAUGACAGAUGAGAGACUUGGGUCAAGUUCCAGCCUUCCCUUUUCUAGUAAUGGACAAUAUAAAAUUUUUUUACAAUAUCUCUAACAAAGAAAGGUCCAAUUAAAACUUCAAUAAGCCAAACAGACCUUUGACUUUCAAGACUCAGUGCGGCUUUGAAUUUUAUAGUCACUCAACAAACCUUUCCUGAGUAUGUUCUUUGUGCAUAGCCAUGGUGAAGUAUGAUAUUUGUUCUCCAUUUUAGGCAGGAAGAAGCUUCGACUGUUCGAAUACCUUCAUGAAUCCCUGUGUAAUCCUGAGAUGGCAUC
This 8807-nucleotide long non-coding RNA is filed under the name Lynx pardinus (Iberian lynx). The record is from RNAcentral. Lineage: Eukaryota; Metazoa; Chordata; Mammalia; Carnivora; Felidae.